Molecule: small nucleolar RNA, 143 nt
Filed under: Sciurus vulgaris (Eurasian red squirrel)
Lineage: Eukaryota; Metazoa; Chordata; Mammalia; Rodentia; Sciuridae
Description: Small nucleolar RNA SNORA48 (ENSSVLG00005003830.1)
Rfam family: Small nucleolar RNA SNORA48
About the family: The snoRNA ACA 48 has been identified to guide pseudouridylation of the residue U3797 in the 28S rRNA subunit. Its host gene EIF4A1 (eukaryotic translation initiation factor 4A1) is shared with U67 and snoRNA mgU6-77
Source: Rfam by way of RNAcentral
CACCCUGGCAAUGGGCAAAGAGACACCAGACUGGUGGUGUUACUCUCAUAGCAGUCAGGGGCAAAACAGAAGAUAGUACUCUGUUCAUUCUAUCUUGAUGUCUGUGUUGGUGGCUACAGAUAUGUCAUGCCUAGGGCACAUUA